AACGAACGCUGGCGGCAUGCCUAACACAUGCAAGUCGAACGAUGCCUUCGGGCAUAGUGGCGCACGGGUGCGUACCGCGUGGGAAUCUGCCUUUCGGUUCGGAAUACCUCAGGGAAACUUGAGCUAAUACCGGAUAACGUCGCACGACCAAAGAUUUAUCACGGCAAGAUGAGCCCGCGUAGGAUUAGCUAGUUGGUGAGGUAAAGGCUCACCAAGGAGACGAUCCUUAGCUGGUCUGGGAGGAGGAUCAGCCACACUGGGGCUGAGACACGGACCAGACUCCUACGGGAGGGAGCAGUGGGGAACAUUGGACGAGGGGCGAAAGCCUGAUCCAGCAAUGCCGCGUGAGUGAUGAAGGCCGUAGGGUUGUAAAGCUCUUUUACCCGGGAAGAUAAUGACGGUACCGGGAGAAUAAGCCCCGGCUAACUCCGUG
This 433-nucleotide ribosomal RNA is filed under the name uncultured bacterium. Its description in RNAcentral is "partial 16S ribosomal RNA". It matches the Rfam family "Bacterial small subunit ribosomal RNA", at positions 29 to 507 of the family's 1533-position model. The record is from RNAcentral.